This 1453-nucleotide ribosomal RNA is filed under the name Euglena longa. RNAcentral describes it as "bacterial SSU rRNA". It matches the Rfam family "Bacterial small subunit ribosomal RNA". The record is from RNAcentral. Lineage: Eukaryota; Euglenozoa; Euglenophyceae; Euglenales; Euglenaceae.
AUAAUACGAAUAGUUUUAUCUUUAUUCAAGAUUAAUACUGGCAGUAUGCAUAACAUAUACAAGUUGAACGAACUUGUUUUAUAAAAUGAGUUAGUAGCAGAUGGGUGAGUAAUAUGUGAGAAUCUAUAUUUAGUUGGGGGAUAACUUAUAGAAAUGUUUGCUAAUAUCCUAUAAUUAUACUAUUAAGUAAAAAUUUUUUUCCUAAACAUGAGCUUGAAUCUGAUUGGUUUGUUGGUUAGUUAAUGUCUUACCAAGAUUUUGAUCAGUAGUUGAUUUGAGAGAAUGGUCAGUCAUACUGUAAUUGAGAGUGGUACAGACUUUUAUGGGAGGCAAUGAGUGAAAAUUUGAUGGAGCAAUACUGCGUGUAGGAAGAAGGCUGUAUUAGUUGUAAAUUUUUUUUUUAAAAAAGAAUAGGUGACGAUAUUUGAAUAAUAUUCAUCAGUUAAUUUCGUGUCAGCAACUGUGGUAAUACGGGGGAUGUCAGUGUUAUCUGUAAUUAUUUGUGGGUUUAAAGGGUCCGGAGGUGAUAUUAUAUUUUUAAUUUUAUAAAGGCAUUAGAAACAGUAAUACUAGGGUAUGGUAGAGGUAAAGGGAAUUUUUAGUGUAGUGGUGAAGGUACUUUGCUAGGCCAAUACUGACAUUGAGAGACUAAAAUUAAGGUAGUAAACAGGAUUAGAUACCCUGGUAGUUUUGGCCGUAAACUAUUGAUACUAAGUUAUGAAGAUUCUAUUUUUAUAUAUAUUAGAUAUAUAUAAGUAUGAGGAUAUAUUUUAAAAGUUAACAUGUUAAGUAUUCCGCUUGGGAAGUAUUCUUGUAAAAGUGAAACUCAAAGGAAUUGAUGGGGACCUGCAUAAGCGGUGGAGUAUAUGGUUUAAUUCGAUGUAAAAUGAAAAACCUUAUUAAUACUUAGCAUGUUAAAAUAAAUGAUUAUUAUUAAUAAUGUAGUUAAAAAAUCUAGAUAUAGGUGAUAGGUGGUGCAUGAUUAUUGUCAGCUUGUAUUGUGAGAUGUAUGGUUUAGUUUUAUGAUGGGCGUAAUCCUUAUCUGUAGUUAAAUUUGUAUAUUGAAGAAACUGCUGUUGAUAAAUCAGAGGAAAGAGAGGAUAAUGUCAAGUCAUCAUGUUCUUUAUAUCUUGGGCUAUAUACGUGUUAUAAUGGUUAAGAUAAUUAGUUGCAAACUUGUAAAAGUUAGCUAAUCUAUAAAUUUAAUCUAAGUUUGGAUUGUAGGUUGAAAUUAGUUUACGUGAAGUUGGAAUCGCUAGUAAUCGCCGGUUAGUUAUAUGGUGGUGAAUAUGUUUUUGGGCCUUGUAUACACUGCUCGUUACAUCAAGGAAGUUAGUUGUGUUUGAUAUUGUUUUUUAACCUUUUGAAAAAUGAUAAUUAGGGUCUGGCUGGUGACCGUGGUGAAGUUGUAACAAGGUAGUCGUACUGGAAGGUGCGGCUGGAAAAAUGUUUU